RNAcentral lists this ribosomal RNA (1925 nucleotides) under Thermaceae bacterium. Its description in RNAcentral is "partial 23S ribosomal RNA". It matches the Rfam family "Bacterial large subunit ribosomal RNA", at positions 1 to 1881 of the family's 2925-position model. Lineage: Bacteria; Thermotogati; Deinococcota; Deinococci; Thermales; Thermaceae. The record is from RNAcentral.
GGUCAAGCUACUUAGGGCGCGCGGUGGAUGCCUUGGUAUCAGACGCCGAUGAAGGACGUGGUAAGGCUGCGAUAAGCUUCGCCUAGCUGCCAAACAAGCUUAAGCGGAGAUCUCCGAAUGGGGUAACCCAGCCCGGCAAAACCGGGCUACUCCGGACUGAACACAUAGGUCCGGUAGAGGGCACCGGGGGAACUGAAACAUCUAAGUACCCCGAGGAAAAGAGAGUAUUCCCCUAGUAGCGGCGAGCGAACGGGGAGAAGCCCAAACCGCCAGGGUUCGCCCUGGCGGGGUUGUAGGGCCUGCCUGCUUUGAAGGCAAGGAGUUAUCAAUCACACGCGUAGAAGAACGGCCCUGGAACGGCCGGCCAAAGAGGGUGAGAGCCCCGUAAACAAAACGCGCUGUGGCUCCUGGCGGGUACCUGAGUACCACGGGACACGUGAAACCCCGUGGGAAUCUGGGGAGACCACUUCCCAAGGCUAAAUACGUCUGAUGACCGAUAGUGAACCAGUACCGUGAGGGAAAGGUGAAAAGUACCCCGGGAGGGGAGUGAAAGAGAUCCUGAAACCGCGUGCCUACGUGCAGUUGGAGCCCGUUACGGCGGGUGACAGCGUGCCUAUUGAAGAAUGAGCCGGUGAGUUACUGUAUGUGGCAAGGUUAAGCAAGGUGACUUGUGGAGCCGUAGCGAAAGCGAGUCCGAACAGGGCGAUUGAGUCGCAUGUAGUAGACGCGAAACCUGGUGAUCUACCCAUGGGCAGCGUGAAGUCCAGGUAAAACUGGAUGGAGGCGCGAACCUUCUAACGUUGCAAAGUUAUUGGAUGACCUGUGGGUAGCGGUGAAAUGCCAAGCGAACCAGGAGAUAGCUCGUUCUCCCCGAAAUGCAUUUAGGUGCAGCGUCAUGUGAUCUCCAUCGGAGGUAGGGCUCUGAAUGGGCUAGGGGGCUUACCGCUUACCAAACCCAAUCAAACCGCGAAUGCCGUUGGACAAAACAUGGCAGUGAGACAGUGGGGGCUAAGCUUCAUUGUCGAAAGGGAAACAGCCCAGACCACCAGCUAAGGUCCCGAAGUCCAUGCUCAGUGUAAAAGGAUGUUGAAUCGCAAAGACAGCCAGGAGGUUGGCUUAGAAGCAGCCACCCUUUAAAGAGUGCGUAAUAGCUCACUGGUCGAGUGGUUCUGCGCCGACAAUUCAACGGGGCUAAGCAUGGCACCGAAGCUGUGGGUCAGCCGCAUUAUGCGGCUGGCGGUAGGGGAGCGUUUGCUUCCGCAGAGAAGGGGAAGCCGUGAGGCACCCUGGAGCGAAGCGAAGUGAGAAUGCCGGCAUGAGUAGCGUAAGGUGCGUGAGAACCGCACCCCCCGUAUACCUGAGGUUUCCUACGGAAGGUUAAUCCGCGUAGGGUUAGUCGGGCCUAAGCCGAGGCCGAAAGGCGUAGGCGAUGGACAGCUGGUUAGUAUUCCAGCACCGCGAUGGUAGCGUUUGAUGCAGAGGAAGGACCCAGGAGGGUAGAUUCCGCGGGCCUAUUGGACAUGGUCCGUUCUUGGUCUGUAGGCGUCCGGUUGCAGGUAAAUCCGCAGCCGGGUUAAGCAGAGGGGCCGAGAGAAGUGGAGACAUUGUCAAAGCGACGGAGUUGAGCCCACGCUGGCUAGAAAAGUUUCGCUGCUAGUUACCAAUGCGCCCGUACCGCAAACCGACACUGGUAGGUGAUGGUGAGAACCAUAAGGGGAUCGGGAGAACCUUCGUUAAGGAACUCGGCAAAUUAGAUCCGUAACUUCGGGAGAAGGAUCGCCCUCGGCUGUGUACCGGCUUGCCCGGGAAGCAGAAGGGGGCCGCAGUGAGCAGGCCCAGGCGACUGUUUAUCAAAAUCACAGGUCUCUGCAAAAGCGAAAGCUGACGUAUAGGGGCUGACGCCUGCCCAGUGCCGGAAGGUUAAG